AAUAGAUACCCUGGUAGUCCUAGCCUUAAACGAUGAGCACUGGAUCGAAGGGAUUCCCAUGUCCUUUUGGUCGCACUGAAAAAGUUAAGUGCUCCGCCUGGGGAGUAUGGCCGCAAGGCUGAAACUCAAAGGAAUUGACGGGGGCUCACACAAGCGGUGGAGGAUGUGGCUUAAUUCGAGGCUACGCGAAGAACCUUAUCCUAGUCUUGACAUGUACGGAUUAACUUGGCGAAAGCCAGGCCACGCUCGCAAGAGUGGAACGUGCACAGGUGCUGCAUGGCUGUCGUCAGCUCGUGUCGUGAGAUGUCGGGUUAAGUCCCUUAACGAGCGAAACCCUUGUCUUUAGUUACCAUCAUUCAGUUGGGGACUCUAAAGAGACUGCCGGCGUUAAGCCGGAGGAAGGUGGGGAUGACGUCAAGUCCUCAUGGCCUUUAUGACUAGGGCUGCACACGUCCUACAAUGGUUUGUACAGAGCGACGCAAACUCGUGAGAGCCAGCAAAUCGCAAAAAGCAAACCUCAGUACGG
RNAcentral lists this ribosomal RNA (526 nucleotides) under uncultured bacterium. RNAcentral describes it as "bacterial SSU rRNA". It matches the Rfam family "Bacterial small subunit ribosomal RNA", at positions 777 to 1296 of the family's 1533-position model. The record is from RNAcentral.